Molecule: long non-coding RNA, 443 nt
Filed under: Gossypium barbadense (sea-island cotton)
Lineage: Eukaryota; Viridiplantae; Streptophyta; Magnoliopsida; Malvales; Malvaceae
Description: long non-coding RNA (GBAR_LNC017233)
Source: RNAcentral
AAAAAAAAGGUUAAAAUUGGGUAAACCCAGCCAGCAGCAGCCGUUGUAAUAUUAGCCAUUUGCCUCAAGCGUUUAGCUGUUUCAUUCUUUGUUCUUCAGUUCCCAAACCCAGACAGAUUCUAAAACAGAAAAUGCCAACCGUAAAAUGCAAGUAAUUUACCCAAAUAACAAGCAAAACACCAAAACUAAAGCGUGUUUCUCCUUUUUCUUUUGUUUUUAUCUUCAUUUUUAAAUACUUUGUUUUCAAUUGAAGACAACAUCCGAGGACAAAAGAAAACACGAGAAAGAGAAAAAGAAAGAGCAAUGGGAGCUUACAGAGCUGAUGAUGACUAUGAUUACUUGUUUAAGGUUGUCCUGAUCGGCGACUCUGGUGUUGGGAAAUCCAACCUUUUGUCUAGAUUUACCAAAAACGAGUUUAGCCUUGAAUCCAAGUCUACUAUUGG